AACGAACGCUGGCGGCAUGCCUAACACAUGCAAGUCGAACGAGACCUUCGGGUCUAGUGGCGCACGGGUGCGUAACGCGUGGGAACCUGCCCUUAGGUUCGGAAUAACUCCCCGAAAGGGGUGCUAAUACCGGAUAAUGUCUUCGGACCAAAGAUUUAUCGCCUUUGGAUGGGCCCGCGUUGGAUUAGCUAGUUGGUAGGGUAAAAGCCUACCAAGGCGACGAUCCAUAGCUGGUCUGAGAGGAUGAUCAGCCACACUGGGACUGAGACACGGCCCAGACUCCUACGGGAGGCAGCAGUGGGGAAUAUUGGACCAUGGGCGAAAGCCUGAUCCAGCAAUGCGGGGGGAGUGAGGAAGGGCUUAGGGUUGUAAAGCUAGUUGACCAGGGAUGAUAAUGACAGUACCGGGAGAAUAAGCUCCGGCUAACUACGUG
RNAcentral lists this ribosomal RNA (433 nucleotides) under uncultured bacterium. Its description in RNAcentral is "partial 16S ribosomal RNA". It matches the Rfam family "Bacterial small subunit ribosomal RNA", at positions 29 to 507 of the family's 1533-position model. The record is from RNAcentral.